Molecule: ribosomal RNA, 497 nt
Filed under: uncultured bacterium
Lineage: Bacteria
Description: partial 16S ribosomal RNA
Rfam family: Bacterial small subunit ribosomal RNA
Source: RNAcentral
GAUGAACGCUGGCGGCGUGCCUAAUACAUGCCAGUCGAGCGAACAGACGAGGAGCUUGCUCCUCUGACGUUAGCGGCGGACGGGUGAGUAACACGUGGAUAACCUACCUAUAAGACUGGGAUAACUUCGGGAAACCGGAGCUAAUACCGGAUAAUAUAUUGAACCGCAUGGUUCAAUAGUGAAAGACGGCUUUGCUGUCACUUUUAGAUGGAUCCGCGCCGCAUUAGCUAGUUGGUAAGGUAACGGCUUACCAAGGCAACGAUGCGUAGCCGACCUGAGAGGGUGAUCGGCCACACUGGAACUGAGACACGGUCCAGACUCCUACGGGAGGCAGCAGUAGGGAAUCUUCCGCAAUGGGCGAAAGCCUGACGGAGCAACGCCGCGUGAGUGAUGAAGGUCUUCGGAUCGUAAAACUCUGUUAUUAGGGAAGAACAAAUGUGUAAGUAACUAUGCACGUCUUGACGGUACCUAAUCAGAAAGCCACGGCUAACUACGUG